RNAcentral lists this long non-coding RNA (900 nucleotides) under Phoenix dactylifera (date palm). RNAcentral describes it as "long non-coding RNA (PDAC_LNC010584)". Lineage: Eukaryota; Viridiplantae; Streptophyta; Magnoliopsida; Arecales; Arecaceae. The record is from RNAcentral.
AAGAGAUAAAGCAUCACAAACACAAAGAUGUAUAGUGGUUCGGUGCACCCCAGCACCUACAUCCACUCUCCAAGACCUCUUGGGAAUUUCACUAUAAUCCCUUAGAUUACAGUCGGUUGUUUUACAAGCUCACAACCCAACUUGUUGUUUUGCGAGAUCACAACGAACUCGGUCGGUUUUCACAGGCUCACCGACUAGAACCAACCGAUUGUUUUCACGGGCUCACAAUCCAACCCAGUUGGUUUUCCCAAAGGCUCACCAACCACAACCUUACAAUGAUUGUUUUCUGGGUUCUCUCCUACAUUCUUAAAGACUUCCAUCAGAAUAUAUAUAGAGUGAAUGAUCUUAAAGCUAGAAAUAUUUCAGCUCACUCAAAUGAUUCUAAAGGAAAGAAAAUGUAAAUGCUUUUGAAAGAAACUGAGCUUUAAAUGAAUCAUUUUCUGAUUAAUAUUUCUAUACAUUUUCUCUAAGAUUAAGAGAAAGCAUAACUUGUUCUUGAAGGAUUAGAAAGAGUAAUUGCUACAAAUUUUGAAUAAUACUAGAUUACUCUACAUUCUCGAUAUCAUAGAAUUUCAGUUUUAUUCACGUUUAUCACUAAAAUCUGAAAUUCAACAAUAGAAAAGAAUGAUUAAAGAAGAAUGCAUCUUUUGAGGGGGAGCUUUAGAUUCAGUAUCUCAUACCUUGAUUUUUAUGGAUUGAUUUUGAUGAACCUCCUUAUAUUGCAAGACUUGCUUUAAUUAUAUAAUAAGUUUAUACCUUGAGAUGAGUUUUAUAAAGGUUGUCUUAUUUCAAACAUUGAGUCUUAUGAAAAUAAGCUGAAACUUAUAGAAAAUAUAUUUGUUUUGAGAUUGACAAUUUUAUUGAACAUUAUCUUCAAAUUCUAAACUCUUAAAUGGAAUN